AGGUUAAGUUAACAAGGGCGCAUGGUGAAUGCCUUGGCACUAGGAGCCGAUGAAGGACGGGACUAACACCGAUAUGCUUCGGGGAGCUGUACGUAAGCUAUGAUCCGGAGAUUUCCGAAUGGGGCAACCCAGCAGUUUUAAUCAACUGUUACCACUAGAUGAAUUCAUAGUCUAGUUGGAGGUAAACGCUGUGAACUGAAACAUCUCAUUAGCAGCAGGAAUAUAAAGAAAUUUCGAUUCCCUAAGUAGCGGCGAGCGAACGGGGAACAGCCCAAACCAAAGUGCUUGCACUUUGGGGUUGUAGGACUGAACAUUUGAGUUACCAAAGAACUUGAUAGUCGAAGGAUUUGGGAAAAUCCGCCAUAGAUGGUGAUAGCCCAGUAGAUUAAAUCAAAUUCUCUCAGUUCAGGAUCCUGAGUACGGCGGAACACGUGAAAUUCCGUCGGAAUCCGGGAGGACCAUCUCCCAAGGCUAAAUACUACCUAGUGACCGAUAGUGAACCAGUACCGUGAGGGAAAGGUGAAAAGCACCCCGGGAGGGGAGUGAAAUAGUUCCUGAAACCAUGUGCCUACAAUAAGUCAGAGCGCGUUAAUGCGUGAUGGCGUGCCUUUUGUAGAAUGAACCGGCGAGUUAUGAUCCCGUGCAAGGUUAAGACUAAAAAGUCGGAGCCGUAGCGAAAGCGAGUCUGAAAUGGGCGUUUUGAGUACGAGGUUAUAGACCCGAAACCAGGUGACCUAUCCAUGUCCAGGUUGAAGGUGCGGUAAAACGCACUGGAGGACCGAACCCGUGUAAGUUGAAAAUUGCUGGGAUGAGGUGUGGAUAGCGGUGAAAUUCCAAACGAACUUGGAGAUAGCUGGUUCUCUCCGAAAUAGCUUUAGGGCUAGCCUCGGAAUUAGGAUCAUGGAGGUAGAGCACUAUUUGGACUAGGGGCCCGUCUUGGGUUACUGAAUUCAGAUAAACUCCGAAUGCCAUUGAUUCAUAUCCGGGAGUCAGACGAUGAGUGAUAAGAUCCACCGUCGAAAGGGGAACAGCCCAGACCAUCAGUUAAGGUCCCUAAAUGUAUGCUAAGUGGAAAAGGAUGUGGAGUUGCAUAGACAACUAGGAUGUUGGCUCAGAAGCAGCCACCAUUUAAAGAGUGCGUAAUAGCUCACUAGUCGAGUGAUCCUGCGCCGAAAAUGUACCGGGGCUAAGCAUACUACCGAAACCAUGGAUGCGACCAUUAGGUCGCGUGAUAGGAGAGCGUUCUAAGGGCGGUGAAGCAAGAUCGUGAGGACUUGUGGAGCGCUUAGAAGUGAGAAUGCCGGUAUGAGUAGCGAAAGAUAGGUGAGAAUCCUAUCCACCGAAUGACUAAGGUUUCCUGGGGAAGGCUCGUCCUCCCAGGGUUAGUCGGGACCUAAGUCGAGGCCGAGAGGCGUAGACGAUGGAUAACAGGUUGAGAUUCCUGUACUAGUUAAGUGCGUUUGAGCAAUGGAGGGACGCAGGAGGCUAAGAUGUGCAUUCUGUUGGAUUAGAAUGUCCAAGCAGUAAGUCUUGUGAAGAGUCAAAUGCUUUUCACUUUAAGGACAAGCUGUGAUGGGGAGCGAAAUUUAGUAGCGAAGCGUCUGAUGUCACACUGCCGAGAAAAGCUUCUAGUGAGUACUUAACUACCCGUACCGCAAACCGACACAGGUAGUCGAGGAGAGAAUCCUAAGGUGAGCGAGUGAACUCUCGUUAAGGAACUCGGCAAAAUGACCCCGUAACUUCGGGAGAAGGGGUGCUGAUCGCAAGAUCAGCCGCAGUGAAUAGGCCCAGGCGACUGUUUAUCAAAAACACAGGUCUCUGCAAAAUCGUAAGAUGACGUAUAGGGGCUGACGCCUGCCCGGUGCUGGAAGGUUAAAAGGAUGGGUUAGCUUCGGCGAAGCUCAGAAUUGAAGCCCCAGUAAACGGCGGCCGUAACUAUAACGGUCCUAAGGUAGCGAAAUUCCUUGUCGGGUAAGUUCCGACCCGCACGAAAGGCGUAACGAUCUGGGCACUGUCUCAACGAGAGACUCGGUGAAAUUAUAUUGUCCGUGAAGAUGCGGACUACCCGCGACAGGACGGAAAGACCCCAUGGAGCUUUACUGUAGCUUGAUAUUGAGUGUUUGUACAGCUUGUACAGGAUAGGUAGGAGCCAUAGAAACCGGAACGCUAGUUUCGGUGGAGGCGUUGGUGGGAUACUACCCUCGCUGUAUGACCACUCUAACCCGCACCACUAAUCGUGGUGGGAGACAGUGUCAGGUGGGCAGUUUGACUGGGGCGGUCGCCUCCUAAAAAGUAACGGAGGCGCCCAAAGGUUCCCUCAGAAUGGUUGGAAAUCAUUCGUAGAGUGUAAAGGCACAAGGGAGCUUGACUGCGAGACAGACAGGUCGAGCAGGGACGAAAGUCGGGCUUAGUGAUCCGGUGGUACCGUAUGGAAGGGCCAUCGCUCAACGGAUAAAAGCUACCCUGGGGAUAACAGGCUUAUCUCCCCCAAGAGUCCACAUCGACGGGGAGGUUUGGCACCUCGAUGUCGGCUCAUCGCAUCCUGGGGCUGUAGUCGGUCCCAAGGGUUGGGCUGUUCGCCCAUUAAAGCGGUACGCGAGCUGGGUUCAGAACGUCGUGAGACAGUUCGGUCCCUAUCCGUCGCGGGCGUAGGAAAUUUGAGAGGACCUGUCCUUAGUACGAGAGGACCGGGAUGGACAUACCUCUGGUGUACCAGUUGUGCCGCCAGGCGCAUCGCUGGGUAGCUACGUAUGGAUGUGAUAAACGCUGAAAGCAUCUAAGUGUGAAACACACCUCGAGAUGAGAUUUCCCAUUCCUUUAUGGAAGUAAGACCCCUGAAAGAUGAUCAGGUAGAUAGGUUAGAAGUGGCAGUGCGGUGACGCAUGAAGCGGACUAAUACUAAUCGGUCGAGGACUUAACCAAG
This 2923-nucleotide ribosomal RNA is filed under the name Lactiplantibacillus plantarum. RNAcentral describes it as "bacterial LSU rRNA". It matches the Rfam family "Bacterial large subunit ribosomal RNA". The record is from RNAcentral. Lineage: Bacteria; Bacillati; Bacillota; Bacilli; Lactobacillales; Lactobacillaceae.